UACGAAGGGAGCGAGCGUUGUUCGGAAUUACUGGGCGUAAAGCGUGCGUAGGCGGUUUUGUAAGUAAGAAGUGAAAGCCUAGGGCUUAACCUUAGAAUUGCUUUUUAGACUGCAAAGCUAGAAUCCUGGAGAGGUUGGCGGAAUUCCGAGUGUAGAGGUGAAAUUCGCAGAUAUUCGGAGGAACACCAGUGGCGAAGGCGGCCAACUGGACAGGUAUUGACGCUGAGGCACGAAAGCGUGGGGAUCAAACAGG
Molecule: ribosomal RNA, 253 nt
Filed under: uncultured bacterium
Lineage: Bacteria
Description: partial 16S ribosomal RNA
Rfam family: Bacterial small subunit ribosomal RNA
Source: RNAcentral